This 253-nucleotide ribosomal RNA is filed under the name uncultured bacterium. RNAcentral describes it as "partial 16S ribosomal RNA". It matches the Rfam family "Bacterial small subunit ribosomal RNA", at positions 524 to 776 of the family's 1533-position model. The record is from RNAcentral.
UACGUAGGGCGCAAGCGUUGUCCGGAAUUAUUGGGCGUAAAGAGCUCGUAGGCGGCUUGUCACGUCGGGUGUGAAAGCCCGGGGCUUAACCCCGGAUCUGCAUUCGAUACGGGCUAGCUAGAGUGUGGUAGGGGAGAUCGGAAUUCCUGGUGUAGCGGUGAAAUGCGCAGAUAUCAGGAGGAACACCGGUGGCGAAGGCGGAUCUCUGGGCCAGUACUGACGCUGAGGCGCGAAAGCGUGGGGAGCAAACAGG